GUGCUCGCUUCAGCAGCACAUAUACUAAAAUUGGAAUGAUACAGAGAAGAUUAGCAAGGCCCCUGCGCAAGGAUGGCACACAAAUUCGUGAAGCAUUCCACAUUUUU
RNAcentral lists this small nuclear RNA (107 nucleotides) under Meriones unguiculatus (Mongolian gerbil). Lineage: Eukaryota; Metazoa; Chordata; Mammalia; Rodentia; Muridae. The record is from RNAcentral.